CCGGUUGAUCCUGCCGGAGGCUACUGCCAUCAGAGUUCGAUUAAGCCAUGUUAGUCGAGGGUGCUUCUUCUUCGGAAGAAGUAACCCGGCGGACGGCUCAGUAACACGUGGAUAACUUGCCCUUGGGUCCGGGAUAACCCCUGAGAAAUUGGGGACAAUACCGGAUAGGGCAUCGAUAGCUGGAAUGCACGAUGUCCAAAAGCUGAGGCGCCCAAGGAUAGGUCUGCGGCUGAUUAGGUUGUUGUUGAUGUAAUGGAUCAACAAGCCUGCAAUCGGUACGGGUUGUGAGAGCAAGAGCCCGGAGAUGGGUUCUGAGAAAAGAACCCAGGUCCUACGGGACGCAUCAGGCGCGAAAACUUUACAAUGUGCGAAAGCACGAUAAGGGAACUCUGAGUGCCUCCUAUGGAGGCUGUUCAGGUGUCUAAAAAGCACUUGAAGUAAGGGCUGGGUAAGACCGGUGCCAGCCGCCGCGAUAACACCGGCAGCCCAAGUGGUAGCCACGAUUAUUGGGUCUAAAGCGUCCGUAGCCGGCCAGGUAAGUUCUUUGGGAAAUUUAACCGCUCAACGGUUAAGCUUUCAGGGAAUACUGCUUGGCUUGGGACCGGGAGAGGUCAGAGGUACUUCAAGGGUAGGGGUGAAAUCCGUUAAUCCUUGAGGGACCACCAGUAGCGAAGGCGUCUGA
RNAcentral lists this ribosomal RNA (682 nucleotides) under uncultured archaeon. RNAcentral's name for it is "bacterial SSU rRNA". It matches the Rfam family "Archaeal small subunit ribosomal RNA", at positions 4 to 679 of the family's 1478-position model. The record is from RNAcentral.